AAUUCGAUUGAGUUUGAUCAUGGCUCAGAAUCAACGCUGGCGGCGUGCCUCAGACAUGCAAGUCGAACGCGAAAGUCCCCUUCGGGGGGCAAGUAGAGUGGCGCACGGGUGAGUAACACGUAGGUAAUCUACCUUCGGAUGGGGAAUAACAAUCGGAAACGGUUGCUAAUACCGCAUAAUGCAGCGGCACCUAAUGGUGACAGUUGUUAAAGCGGGGGAUCGGAAGACCUCGCGUCUGAAGAGGAGCCUGCGGCGGAUUAGCUAGUUGGUAAGGUAAUGGCUUACCAAGGCAACGAUCCGUAACCGGCCUGAGAGGGCGGUCGGUCACACUGACACUGACAUACGGGUCAGACUCCUACGGGAGGCAGCAGUCGGGAAUUUUGGGCAAUGGGCGAAGGCCUGACCCAGCAACGCCGCGUGAAGGAUGAAAUCCCUCGGGAUGUAAACUUCGCAAGAACGGGAAGAAUAAGUAGGGGACAAUACCCCCUAUGAUGACGGUACCGUUUGUAAGCUCCGGCUAACUCCGUGCCAGCAGCCGCGGUAAUACGGGGGGAGCAAGCGUUGUUCGGAUUUACUGGGCGUAAAGGGCGCGUAGGCGGCCAGCACAAGUCAGUUGUGAAAUCUCCGAGCUUAACUCGGAAAGGUCAACUGAUACUGUGCGGCUAGAGUGCGGAAGGGGCAACU
RNAcentral lists this ribosomal RNA (684 nucleotides) under uncultured bacterium. RNAcentral describes it as "bacterial SSU rRNA". It matches the Rfam family "Bacterial small subunit ribosomal RNA", at positions 1 to 662 of the family's 1533-position model. The record is from RNAcentral.